RNAcentral lists this ribosomal RNA (253 nucleotides) under uncultured bacterium. RNAcentral describes it as "partial 16S ribosomal RNA". It matches the Rfam family "Bacterial small subunit ribosomal RNA", at positions 524 to 776 of the family's 1533-position model. The record is from RNAcentral.
UACAGAGGUCCCAAGCGUUGUUCGGAUUUACUGGGCGUAAAGGGUGCGUAGGCGGUUGUUUAAGUCUGACGUGAAAUCUCCGGGCCUAACCCGGAAACUGCAUUGGAUACUAUUCGGCUUGAGAGUUGGAGGGGGGACUGGAAUUCUUGGUGUAGCAGUGAAAUGCGUAGAUAUCAAGAGGAACACCAGUGGCGAAGGCGAGUCCCUGGACAACUUCUAACGCUGAGGCACGAAAGCUAGGGGAGCAAACAGG